CAGCCGCCGCGGUAAUACGGAGGGAGCUAGCGUUGUUCGGAAUUACUGGGCGUAAAGCGCGCGUAGGCGGUUACUCAAGUCAGAGGUGAAAGCCCUGAGCUUAACUUAGGAAUUGCAUUCGAUACUGGGAAGCUAGAGUAUGGGAGAGGAUGGUAGAAUUCCAGGUGUAGCGGUGAAAUGCGUAGAGAUCGGGAGGAACAUCAGUGGCGAAGGCGGCCAUCUGGGACAACACUGACGCUGAGGCACGAAAGCGUGGGGAGCAAACAGGAUUAGAUACCCGCGUAGUCCCUGUCUCUUAUAC
RNAcentral lists this ribosomal RNA (301 nucleotides) under uncultured bacterium. Its description in RNAcentral is "partial 16S ribosomal RNA". It matches the Rfam family "Bacterial small subunit ribosomal RNA", at positions 509 to 807 of the family's 1533-position model. The record is from RNAcentral.